GGAUGAACGCUGGCGGCGUGCCUAAUACAUGCAAGUCGAACGAGGUGCUGGAGUAGCAAUACGAAGGUAUCCUAGUGGCGAACGGGUGAGUAACGCGUUGGUGACCUACCCCAAAGUGUGGGAUAACAGUUCGAAAGGACUGCUAAUACCGCAUGUGGUUAUUGGAAUUAGAACCUGAUAACUAAAGGAGCAAUUCGCUUUGGGAGGGACCUGCGUCCCAUCAGCUAGUUGGUGAGGUAAUGGCUCACCAAGGCUACGACGGGUAGGGGACCUGAGAGGGUGACCCCCCACAAUGGAACUGAAACACGGUCCAUACACCUACGGGUGGCAGCAGUAGGGAAUAUUGCACAAUGGGCGAAAGCCUGAUGCAGCAACGCCGCGUGUGCGAUGAAGGCCUUCGGGUCGUAAAGCACUUUUCUGAGGGAUGAGCAAGGACAGUACCUCAGGAAUAAGUCUC
Molecule: ribosomal RNA, 457 nt
Filed under: uncultured bacterium
Lineage: Bacteria
Description: bacterial SSU rRNA
Rfam family: Bacterial small subunit ribosomal RNA
Source: RNAcentral